UAGGCCAAAAUUGCUGGACUCAGAUUGU
This 28-nucleotide non-coding RNA is filed under the name Mus musculus (house mouse). The record is from RNAcentral. Lineage: Eukaryota; Metazoa; Chordata; Mammalia; Rodentia; Muridae.